Oncorhynchus tshawytscha (Chinook salmon) is the source of this 1163-nucleotide long non-coding RNA. Lineage: Eukaryota; Metazoa; Chordata; Actinopteri; Salmoniformes; Salmonidae. The record is from Ensembl.
GUCAAAACAACAACAUUCAUCCGGGAGGGACAGAAAAGGCCCAAGCAUCCUCCUACGAAGCCAGAAAUUGGACACCGAGUUAUGGCCCGGGACUGGAAGAUGCUUGUCGAUAUUGACCAGCAACUAAUUUUUCCACCUGAGAUUGCUUCUACCAACCUUAGGCCAGACAUGGUACUCUGGUCCCCUUCACGAAAGUCUGUGUACAUCACAGAGCUCACAGUCCCGUGGGAAACCUCUGUUGAAGAGGCCUACGAGCGUAAGAAACUGCGUUACAAAGAGUUGGCAGCAGACGCAACUCAGCGUGGCUGGAAUGCAAAAGUCUGGCCAGUUGAAGUGGGAUGCAGAGGAUUCGUGGCUUCUUCCACCAUCAGGUUGCUGAAAGAACUUGGAAUCCAUGGACAGGCUCUGCGGCAGACCGUCAGAGCAGUUUCUCAAGCAGCUGAAAGAGGCAGCCAGUGGAUCUGGAUCAAACGGAAGGACCCUUGCUGGGCAAUAACUUCAUGACCCCCCACCCCCACCUGAGCACCCAAUUCAGAUCCCUCCAACUUGAGGAGGGCAUAUGAGGUAUGGGGUCAGCUGUAGGGCUGGCUCAGGGAAGAGGACGCCCCUGCCUUGCAUAGUCCCGUGGGAAAUCUUAAUUGGGCAUGGGACACAAGCUAAGGCUUGAUCACCCUUUAGCUGGCCACCUUUGAUGAGGGUGUUUAGUGAUUAAAGGCCGAAACACCCACUGAUUCGAAGGCACACUACUGAGGAUGUGUCCCAAAAUGGACAUUUUAACCCAGUCUAAGAAAUAAACCUCCCAUGCCACUCUGUCAACAUCACAGCAAAUCUCAUUGACCAAUUUUGACUGCCAACACAACAACUGAAAGCAAAACAAGCAUUUUGGAAGUUCUGAUAAACAUGAUCAUUUCUUCUCAGACCAAGCACGACCGCAAUGUGGCUGAUAACAGGGUAAAGCGCUGGGCCCAGUUGCUGGAAUGCCAAACAAAGACCUGAGCCCUAGGACCAUGCCCCAGGAUUACCUGACAUGAUGACUCCUUGCUGUCCCCAGUCCACCUGGCCGUGCUGCUUCUCCAGUUUCAACUGUUCUGCCUUCUUAUUAUUCAAACAUGCUGAUCAUUUAUGAACAUUUGAACAUCUUGGCCAUGUUCUGUUAUAAUCUC